Oryza sativa Japonica Group (Japanese rice) is the source of this 726-nucleotide non-coding RNA. Lineage: Eukaryota; Viridiplantae; Streptophyta; Magnoliopsida; Poales; Poaceae. The record is from RefSeq and is a predicted model, not a curated record.
CCUUGACCUCUCAUGAAUACUCAUUAUAGUAAAGUUCACCCCUUUCCAACCCCUCUCUCUCCCCACCAUCGGCUCAUCGCUGGUGAAGGAGCGCUGUCGGGCUUCUCCACGGAGACGAAUCACUCCCUGUUGGGCUUCUUCUCCCAGCUGCUACCUAGGAUGCCUCCAGAUCUGUGCAAAGAGAGGUAACGUCUGUCUACAUCGACAUCUCCGGCGAGGUCUUUCCAAGGAAGGCGGCCUCAUGCUUGAUCCUUGGCGACAAAUCUUCACUAGGUGGCUGGAGUUUUCAAGUUGCAUCAAAGAUGUCUCAACCUCCCACUCGUGGAGGACCGAAUCUGUAUGCCUCUUGGCUUCUUAUGUAGCUCACCGCGUUUCUUUUGCUUUCUUCACCAACAAAAUACAUCUAGUUGUUGUCUUUGGAGUAGCUAUGGUCUUUGUACUAAUUUCUCUCAAGAACAAUAGUAGAAAUCUCAAGUGGUGUUGCUAAAAUUUCACUUUGCUCAUCAACACCUUAGCCUCCAUACAUAGGAGGAAUCAUUAGGGAUUGAGUGCAUUCAGCUCACUUGGUUUCACCCUCCACCGGAAGUGAGCUUCAGAUCUUCUUCAUCGGUGACAAAGGCCAAGAAGGAGAAUGACUCGAUUGCUUUUUUUUUCUUUCUAAGUCCUUUUCUACAAAAUGUUGAGCAAAAGUGUAAUUUGCCCAUUCACAAGGGGUUUUUCGCAAAA